This 498-nucleotide ribosomal RNA is filed under the name uncultured bacterium. RNAcentral describes it as "partial 16S ribosomal RNA". It matches the Rfam family "Bacterial small subunit ribosomal RNA", at positions 28 to 507 of the family's 1533-position model. The record is from RNAcentral.
GACGAACGCUGGCGGCGUGCCUAAUACAUGCAAGUCGAACGAGAGCGACCGGUGCUUGCACUGGUCAAUCUAGUGGCGAACGGGUGAGUAACACGUGGGUAACCUGCCCAUCAGAGGGGGAUAACAUUCGGAAACGGAUGCUAAAACCGCAUAGGUCUUCGAGCCGCAUGGCUUGAAGAGGAAAAGAGGCGCAAGCUUCUGCUGAUGGAUGGACCCGCGGUGCAUUAGCUAGUUGGUGAGGUAACGGCUCACCAAGGCCGUGAUGCAUAGCCGACCUGAGAGGGUGAUCGGCCACAUUGGGACUGAGACACGGCCCAAACUCCUACGGGAGGCAGCAGUAGGGAAUCUUCCGCAAUGGACGCAAGUCUGACGGAGCAACGCCGCGUGAGUGAAGAAGGUUUUCGGAUCGUAAAACUCUGUUGUUAGAGAAGAACAAGUGCUAGAGUAACUGUUAGCGCCUUGACGGUAUCUAACCAGAAAGCCACGGCUAACUACGUG